This 2875-nucleotide ribosomal RNA is filed under the name Prochlorococcus marinus subsp. pastoris str. CCMP1986. Its description in RNAcentral is "bacterial LSU rRNA". It matches the Rfam family "Bacterial large subunit ribosomal RNA". Lineage: Bacteria; Bacillati; Cyanobacteriota; Cyanophyceae; Synechococcales; Prochlorococcaceae. The record is from RNAcentral.
GGUCAAGCUACAAAGGGCUCACGGAGGAUACCUAGGCACACAGAGGCGAUGAAGGACGUGGUUACCUGCGAUAAGUCUCGGGGAGUUGGAAGCACACUUUGAUCCGGGAAUUUCCGAAUGGGGCAACCCCUUGAACGACCAACUGAAUAUAUAGGUUGGUGCGAGCUAACCCAGCGAACUGAAACAUCUUAGUAGCUGGAGGAAGAGAAAGUAAAUAACGACUCCCUCAGUAGCGGCGAGCGAACGGGGAAUAGCCCAAACCGAUAGUCUUGACUAUCGGGGUUGUGGGACAGCAAUAUGGAUCAACAAUUCUAGAAGAAACGUUUGAAUGGCGUGCCAUAGAGGGUGAAAGCCCCGUAAUUGAAAGAUGAGUUGACCUAGCUGUAUCCCGAGUAGCACGGAGCACGUGGAAUUCCGUGUGAAUCUGCGAGGACCACCUCGUAAGGCUAAGUACUACUGUGUGACCGAUAGUGAAACAGUACCGCGAGGGAAAGGUGAAAAGAACCCCGGGAGGGGAGUGAAAUAGAACAUGAAACCGUGAGCUUACAAGCAAUGGGAGCCCGACUAAUCGGGUGACCGUGUGCCUGUUGAAGAAUGAGCCGGCGACUUAUAGGCACUGGCGGGUUAAACCGGAAAUGGUGGAGCCACAGCGAAAGCGAGUCUUAAUAGGGCGUUUGUCAGUGUUUAUAGACCCGAACCCUGGUGAUCUAACCAUGGCCAGGAUGAAGCUUGGGUGAUACCAAGUGGAGGUCCGAACCGACUGAAGUUGAAAAUUCAGCGGAUGAGCUGUGGUUAGGGGUGAAAUGCCAAUCGAACCAGGAGCUAGCUGGUUCUCCCCGAAAUACGUUGAGGCGUAGCGUCUAGUGCUCCAGCAGGGGGGUAAAGCAACCAUUUCGGUGCGGGCUGCGAAAGCGGUACCAAAUCGAUAUGAACUCUGAAUACCCUGUGUGUAACUAGGCAGUCAGACUGUGGGGGAUAAGCUCCAUAGUCAAGAGGGAAACAGCCCAGACCGCCAGCUAAGGUCCCAAAAUUAACGCUAAGUGAUAAAGGAGGUGGGAUUGCCCAGACAACCAGGAGGUUUGCCUAGAAGCAGCCAUCCUCAAAGGAGUGCGUAAUAGCUCACUGGUCGAGCGAUCCUGCGCCGAAAAUGAAUGGGGCUAAGCGUUAUACCGAAGCUGCGGAUAAAUUUAUUUAUGGUAGGGGAGCGUUCUAUGUUGGGUGAAGCGUUAGCGUAAGCGGACGUGGACGGCAUAGAAGUGAGAAUGUCGGCUUGAGUAGCGAAAACAUGGGUGAGAAUCCCAUGCCCCGAAACCCUAAGGGUUCCUCCGGCAGGCUCGUCCGCGGAGGGUUAGUCUGGACCUAAGGCGAGGCCGAAAGGCGUAGUCGAUGGAUAACAGGUCAAUAUUCCUGUACCAGUUAUGUUUUGGGAAGGGGGACGGAGAAGGCUAGCCAGGCCAGAUGUUGGUUACUGGUUCAAGCGUUCAAGGCUUUGAGAGAUGGAGAAAACAUCUCGAGCUGAGGCGUGAGUACGAGCUGCUACGGCAGCGAAGUUGGUGAUGUCAUGCUUCCAAGAAAAGCCCUAUACCCGUUAAGACAUAAAUGCCAGUACCCGAAACCGACACAGGUGGGGUGGUAGAGAAUACCGAGGGGCGCGAGAUAACUCUCUCUAAGGAACUCGGCAAAAUGGCCCCGUAACUUCGGGAGAAGGGGUGCCAGCGAGAGCUGGUCGCAGUGAAGAGGCGCAAGCGACUGUUUACCAAAAACACAGGUCUCCGCUAAGUCGCAAGACGAUGUAUGGGGGCUGACACCUGCCCAGUGCCGGAAGGUUAAGGAAGCUGGUUAGCUUUUAGCAAAGCUAGCGACUGAAGCCCCGGUGAACGGCGGCCGUAACUAUAACGGUCCUAAGGUAGCGAAAUUCCUUGUCGGGUAAGUUCCGACCCGCACGAAAGGUGUAACGAUUUGCGCGCUGUCUCGGAGAGAGGCUCGGCGAAAUAGAAUUGUCUGUGAAGAUGCGGACUACAUACACCCGGACAGAAAGACCCUAUGAAGCUUUACUGUAGUUUGAUAUUGUGCUCGGGCUCUAAUUGCGCAGAAUAGGUGGGAGACGUUGAAAUAGUGCUUGUGGGCAUUAUUGAGUCAUCGGUGAGAUACCACUCUAUUAGAGCUAGGGUUCUAACGCUUACCCGUUAUCCGGGAAGCGGACAGUAUCUGAUGGGCAGUUUGACUGGGGCGGUCGCCUCCUAAAAGGUAACGGAGGCGCACAAAGGUUCCCUCAGGCUGGUUGGAAAUCAGUCGUUGAGUGCAAAAGCAGAAGGGAGCUUGACUGUGAGACCUACAAGUCGAACAGGGACGAAAGUCGGUUUUAGUGAUCCGACGGUUCUGCGUGGAAGGGCCGUCGCUCAACGGAUAAAAGUUACUCUAGGGAUAACAGGCUGAUCUCCCCCAAGAGUUCACAUCGACGGGGAGGUUUGGCACCUCGAUGUCGGCUCAUCGCAACCUGGGGCUGAAGUCGGUCCCAAGGGUUGGGCUGUUCGCCCAUUAAAGCGGUACGCGAGCUGGGUUCAGAACGUCGUGAGACAGUUCGGUCCAUAUCCGGUGUAUGCGCAGGAAUAUUGAGAGGAUUUCUCCCUAGUACGAGAGGACCGGGAGGAACGCACCUCUGGUGUGCCAGUUAUCGUGCCAACGGUAAACGCUGGGUAGCCAUGUGCGGAGUGGAUAACCGCUGAAAGCAUCUAAGUGGGAAGCCCACCUCAAGAUGAGUAUUGCCAUGGCUUAAGCCAGUAAGGUCACGGGAAGAACACCCGUUGAUAGGCUCUACGUGGAAGCUUGGUAACAAGUGCAGCGGAGGAGUACUAAUAGACCGAGGGCUUGACCA